GUGGGGAAUUUUGGACAAUGGGCGCAAGCCUGAUCCAGCAAUGCCGCGUGCAGGAAGAAGGCCUUCGGGUUGUAAACUGCUUUUGUACGGAACGAAACGGUCCUGGCUAAUAUCCGGGGCUAAUGACGGUACCGUAAGAAUAAGCACCGGCUAACUACGUGCCAGCAGCCGCGGUAAUACGUAGGGUGCGAGCGUUAAUCGGAAUUACUGGGCGUAAAGCGUGCGCAGGCUGUGCUGUAAGACAGGCGUGAAAUCCCCGGGCUCAACCUGGGAAUUGCGCUUGUGACUGCAGUGCUGGAGUGCGGCAGAGGGGGAUGGAAUUCCGCGUGUAGCAGUGAAAUGCGUAGAUAUGCGGAGGAACACCGAUGGCGAAGGCAAUCCCCUGGGCCUGCACUGACGCUCAUGCACGAAAGCGUGGGGAGCAAACAGGAUUAGAUACCCGUGUAGUCC
Molecule: ribosomal RNA, 450 nt
Filed under: uncultured bacterium
Lineage: Bacteria
Description: partial 16S ribosomal RNA
Rfam family: Bacterial small subunit ribosomal RNA
Source: RNAcentral